CGGGAAUAUUGGACAAUGGAGGAAACUCUGAUCCAGCAAUGCCGCGUGUGUGAUGAAGGCCCUAGGGUUGUAAAGCACUUUCAACGGUGAAGAUGAUGACGGUAGCCGUAGAAGAAGCCCCGGCUAACUUCGUGCCAGCAGCCGCGGUAAUACGAAGGGGGCGAGCGUUGUUCGGAAUUAUUGGGCGUAAAGGGCGCGCAGGCGGUUUGGAUAGUUAGACGUGAAAGCCCUGGGCUUAACCUAGGAACUGCGUUUAAUACUGCCAAACUAGAGAACUAGAGAGGAUAGCGGAACUCCCAGUGUAGAGGUGAAAUUCGUAGAUAUUGGGAAGAACAUCAGUGGCGAAAGCGGCUGUCUGGCUAGUUUCUGACGCUGAGGCGCGAAAGCGUGGGGAGCAAACAGG
Molecule: ribosomal RNA, 403 nt
Filed under: uncultured bacterium
Lineage: Bacteria
Description: bacterial SSU rRNA
Rfam family: Bacterial small subunit ribosomal RNA
Source: RNAcentral